This 321-nucleotide ribosomal RNA is filed under the name Triticum aestivum (bread wheat). RNAcentral's name for it is "partial small subunit ribosomal RNA". Lineage: Eukaryota; Viridiplantae; Streptophyta; Magnoliopsida; Poales; Poaceae. The record is from RNAcentral.
AUGGUGGUGCAACGGCUGGCAACAACGUGUCUGAAUGCCAUGGGCAGAUGGGUGACAGUGAUAUACGUCCUACAUAGAUGUAUGAUUUCGUCUCUUCCACUGGAUUAUGAUGAAAUUAAGGAUCAAGUAUCAUAUGCAUGCAUGAUAGCUACAUACAGUUUUUCUGUACAAAUGGUGUGUUGCACUGCUAUUUUGUUGAAAAGACAUUAUCUUGCAGAUCCUUUUAUUUCAUUGUUUCUUUCCCUUAUAAUAUUUAUUGAUGAUUUGGUUGAUUUCUUGACUAGAGGAUUUGAAGAUACAAAUAAUUGGCUAGAAGUAUAG